GAAACUAUACAUAGGCAGCCGGACAGCUUAUUUAAAGCCAGAAGCCAAAAGGAUCCACGAGAAUUACAGUUCAAGUAACAUCACAGACCUCAAAGAUAAAGAAUACUACAAUCAUGCCAAGUGCUGAGAGACAAAAACACCGCCAAUAGUUGCUUCACCAACUGCCACCACGACGCGCAGCGCUGACCACGUGUCUAGCAUGACUGCUGGUCUUGGUUCCAUCGACCAGUUCAUGGUAUGCGUCAUGUUCCUCUCCCCACUGUACUGAAGUGAGAACACCUUGGGCUCCAUCUUCGCGGUGGCUCACACUAUAGCUUGGCAGCGGAGCGGCUUCUGCUGCAGCUCGGAGGUGCUCCGACUCCAUCUGCAUCUCAGUUCCUGCUGCAGCUCGGAGGUGCUCCGGCUCCAUCUGCAUCUCAGCGACCCGGCAGCUCGGAGGAGCUGCGCCUCCAUCUGCAUCUCAGGCGGCCCAGCAGCUCCGGCUGCAGCUCGGAGCUGUGGAAUUGGCAGAUGGCGCCGCCCUUGCUUGUAUCCGCGACCCACUAUGAGUGGAAGGAGAAUCUCAUUUCAUUCUCGUAGCUGCUUGGAGUGACUACUGGCCUUUCAACACGAUGAUCAACAAAGCAUGUGUUGGUCAGGGUUGAUUAAAAUCAAGCUUCCUUGCAGGUCCAGGCUCAAUCAGUUGAGAAUUCCUAGAAGGUCUGGACUCAACCAAAUGAAGCUCCCCUGCAGGCCCAGGCUGAACCAAAUCAGCCUUCCUAGGAGUACUGGACUCAAUCAAAUCAAGUUUCUUUGUAGGUGCAGGCUCGACCAAAUCAGGCUUCUGUAAUGGUCGUUGUUCGAUUUUUUCAAGAGGUCCAGACACAAUCAAAUCAGGCUUUGCUGCAGAUGACUCGAUCAAAUCAUACUUCAGUAUGCUCACAGUAAUCACAUAAAGUAAGCUACCAAUUGAGGUGGAUUCACCAUCCGGCAGGCUUUCGCCAUUGCUUCUGCUGCACUCAUCAUCAUGCUGG
RNAcentral lists this long non-coding RNA (1013 nucleotides) under Triticum aestivum (bread wheat). RNAcentral's name for it is "long non-coding RNA (TAES_LNC000610)". Lineage: Eukaryota; Viridiplantae; Streptophyta; Magnoliopsida; Poales; Poaceae. The record is from RNAcentral.